GGGGCCGUGGAGGUAAUUGGCAACCUCACUAGGGUUGACACCUGGCAUUACGGGUUCGAAUCCCGUCGGCUCCACCA
RNAcentral lists this transfer RNA (77 nucleotides) under Patescibacteria group bacterium. Its description in RNAcentral is "tRNA-Ser". It matches the Rfam family "tRNA". Rfam says of the family: Transfer RNA (tRNA) molecules are approximately 80 nucleotides in length. Their secondary structure includes four short double-helical elements and three loops (D, anti-codon, and T loops). The record is from RNAcentral.